Melospiza melodia melodia is the source of this 2617-nucleotide long non-coding RNA. RefSeq lists it as uncharacterized. The record is from RefSeq and is a predicted model, not a curated record. NCBI's taxonomy places the organism in Eukaryota, Metazoa, Chordata, Aves, Passeriformes, Passerellidae. The transcript has 3 exons.
CAGGGGGGUUUGGCGCCUUUUUCCCCUCACGGGCUGCGCGCGGCCCCUGAAGCGCCUCAGUCCCCGGGCUGCUGUGAGGCCACGGAAAACGCUGCGGGGUCGUGUCCGAGCCCGAAUAGUAUCCCAUAAAAAGCAGCGAUGGAGUCAGGUGAACCGUCCGUCAGUGCUGCCGAGUCCUGGUCUGUGCAGAGUGUGGUGCCGAAAGGGCUGUUUGGGAUGGCAGCGCUUGCAGAGGCGGUUGAGUGGAGCAGGAUGAGCUCUGAGGGCAGCAGGAAGGUGCCGGUGUGUGGGAGAAUGUCAGAGGAAGGCGAUGGCGUUAGAGACGGCUGUGAAGGCAGCCAGAUGGACCCCGGGUAAUAAAUAUGAUAAUAUAUGAUAAUUGUUAACUAAAUCAGCCUGACCAACUCAAAACACUCUGCUGCGGAAUCAGACAGGAUUAUAAAUUACCCAGUAGGCCGGGAGCAGUGGAAUUGUCCACAAUUCUUUGCAGAAAUCAGCAAAGUUAUCACACAUAGGUAAAACCCUCAGAAAUACCAAACCAAGGUGAAGGGUGUGGCUCUGAGGGUGUGAAGAGGAUGGCGAGUUCCAGACCUCAGCUUUCAGCUUUAAGAGCCUUUUACACUGCAAAUUAUCAAGGUGACUGAAUUAAAUAUGAAAACUUUGUCAGUGAAGCUUGAAAUAGAAAGUUUCAUGUUGAGUGUUUGACGUUGAAAUCGAAUGUUUGGCAUUGAAAUGCUCUCCCGUGGCCAAUAGGAUGUAUUUCUAGAAAUUCAUGAGGGAGAAUUUGGGUGGAUCUGAAGGAAAGCCAAGGCGGAUGGUACCGGCCUAACCCAAAAGGAUGGUAGAAGGUGAAAAGAAGAAAAAGUAACUGAACAUGGGUUGCUGCAAGUCCAUUUUUCUUAAUGCCUGCAGUUCCACAGGCUCAGUUUGUUUUCAUGCUUAAAUACACUUAUUUUUGUGAACAAAUAAAGAGACAAGAGCUCUGUCCUCAUCUGCUUAGAUUCUGCUGACUGUACCCACAAUGGACAUUUGUUGCCAUGCAGCAGAAUAAUCUGUGACUUCAAUUUGAUACUAAAGCAAGAGUUGAAGAGAUUCCUCAGCCUGCAAAAUACAUCGCACUAGUUCACCAGCUUCACUGGGGCAGGAAGAGGUGAAGAAAAGGUGUAAAGGGAACACCUGGCUAUGAGAUUGCUGAAGGCUAAAGCAGCCUGCGGUACGUGGCAAUCUCCAUCUCCAGGCGAGUCUUGACAUCCAGCAGGAUGCUGUACUCAUUGUUCUGAGCCUCCAUGUCGACUCGGACCUGCCUCAGCUGAGCCUCCAGACUGGAAAUUGCUCCCUGUAUCUGGUCAAGCUGGUGACUGUACCGUGCUUCUGUUUCAGCCAGAGAGGCUUCCAGGGUCUGUUUCUGUAGUGCAUGGCAAGAACAGUGACACAUUAUUCAGAGAAUGCAUUUUUGUGUUAAAAUAACCUUUUGAUUGUAAAGCCCCUCAUUCCUCUAAUUAUCUUUUAAUCCUCUAUUUAUUACACCUCUGUGUAACUCUCUGCUAUCCACAGUCCUUAUUUUGCUUUUUGUAAUUUACCAUGUUCAGCAGGGACUGUAAUUCCAGCUCCAGGUUCUGGCAGAUCUGUCUCCGUUCUGUGACCUCUUUCCUUUGCACCUCCAGCCGCUCAACACUGAGGGCAACUUCCUGGUUCAGUUCUGCUGUCUGGAAUGGAGAAUGGAGGGACUGUGAACUGCAGCCAGGCAUGACUGAGAUUCUUGCUGGUGUUUAAGCUGUUGACUUUACCUGCUUUUCAAAAUGUUCUUUGGCUUCUUGGCGGUUCUUUUCUGCCAUUUCUUCAUAUUGCUUUCUCAUAUUUUCCAUGAUAGCUGCGAGGUCAAUGCCGGGAGCAGCAUCCACCGCCACGUUCACAGAGCCGCUGGCCUCUUUGCGCAGCCUCUCACGUUCCUGCAGCAAUGGGAACUGUGUUAGCACCAGCUGCAGGGAGCUGUCACUCCUGGCCAUGGGACACAAACUCAACAUCCACACACACAGGACUAAUCCUCAAUAGUACCUUGGGGCAAGGCAACUUAAUAACCUUGUAAAUACUGUUUAGUGCACCUCAUCUUAGAACAGUUCGCCUACUUGGUAGCAAUAAAUGUUAUAUCAUAGAUAAAUGUAUCAUAAAAAUUAUUUCCUCAGAUCCGGAUCUGUGGAAUGAGGGAGAAGUCAUGGCUCCCAUUUGUGUACUUUUGGGAUGGCAGUUCCUGAACCAUACAUUUUCUUAGAGAAAACCUUUACUCCUUCAUUCCUGGAAUGAAGGAGUGUUCAGCCUUUGAUCCCUGACAGCUUGCAUGUCCCUUAGGGUCACACAGGGUUAUGCUGCUUCCAGGAAGGAUAGAAAUGCUUCCUAGUGAGGUUGUUUGCCACUCAAAACCCCUCUCCAUGGCAGUGGUCAGCUGUUCUCACCUCCUCAUGGUUCUUCCUAAGGAAAACAAGUUCCUCAGUUAUGUUCUCAAUCUGGGACUCCAGGUCAGCUUGGGUCAGGGUCAGGUCGUCACGGACAUGGAGCAGUCCGGUGAUGUCGCUCUCCACACUCUGCCUGAGCAGGUGUUCGUUCUCAAACCUGUACAAUA